Long non-coding RNA from Lycium barbarum (goji berry), 1599 nucleotides. RefSeq lists it as uncharacterized. NCBI's taxonomy places the organism in Eukaryota, Viridiplantae, Streptophyta, Magnoliopsida, Solanales, Solanaceae. The record is from RefSeq and is a predicted model, not a curated record. The transcript has 4 exons.
CGACCACAUGAGGUCGAAAUUCCAAAUUAAUUUUUUUUUUAUUUUCUUUAGGAUUUUGACCACAUGGGGUCGUUUUUUUACGGGAAAAUAUGAUUUCGACCUCAUGAGGUCGAAUUUUUUUUUGUACAAAUAAUAAAUGAAAAAAAAUCAUUUUACACAAAAGUAAAUUAUAUAAAUAUAAAAUAAUUAAUUAAAAAAUUAAAAAAAAAUCAAAUUUCGACCGCAUGAGGUCGAAAAAAUUAAUUCAAAUCUGGUCAAAUCUGGCUUAAUUUUUUCGACCACAUGCAGUCGAAAAAGUUCAAUAAAUAAUACACCCACACAGGCCGAUGAAAAUAUUUCAUCUCCCUCCAAAACUUUCUCUUCUCUUUCAAAAAAAUUUACCCUCUCUAAACUCAUCUUCCCCAAAAUUCCCACCACCCCACCAACACCGGCAUUCUCCAAGUAGGCGACGCCGUCCAGUUAAACCAUCGGAGUAGCCACCAGCCGCCGCCGACUGAACAGUGAGCUGGUUGAAUAUAUUGUGAAAAAAAAAUAUGGUUGAAGGAAGGGACAGAUUAUCCAGGCAAGAAGAUCCAAUAGAAGUUUACACUCGCAGACACCGUCCACCACUACCACCGGAGCAGCCACCAGCCUCCACCGACUGAACAGUGAGCUAGGGGGAAGUGAUUAGUUUGAAUCAACAAAUCAGAAACUUUGAGAAUGUGACAUUGCUAGAGUUGGAGGAGCAGCUAGGGUGCAAAAGCAAAGAAUCACUGAAGGAUUACUUGUUUGUAGUGGGAAGUGGAGGAAAUGACUACUCACUCAACUACUUCCUGAGCUUAGCCAACAACAAUAUUACUAUUCAAGAUUUCACUGCAAAUUUGACCCUUACACUCUCUCACCAACUCAAGAGGUUGUAUAAUAUGGGAGCUAGGAAAUUUGUGGUGAUGGCAUUAUAUCCCAAUGGGUGCAGCCCAAUGGCCAGAGGUAGAAAUCCGAUGACUACUGGCUGCAUAGAAAGUUUGAAUAAAGCUGCCCUUCUAUUCAACACUAACUUGAGGGGUUUGGUUGAUUCCAUUAAGUGCUACAACGAAGAAGAAAUAUAAGUUACUUUCUUAUAGAAAGGUAGUUGCAGAUAGAAAAAAGGAAAAAAGAAAAGAAGAAAGAUGAUAAAGAGUAUGUAAAUCGGAAACUUUGACUUCGAUAACAAAAAAUCCAGCUUGAUGAUGCUGAAACUUUACAAAUCUAAUCUCAAUGCCACAUUCUUCUUAUUAAUUAGGAAUUUUUUUUUUUUUUUUUUGGCCUGCUUGUGUAAACAUUUUUUAGUCUAGAAGAAUAUUGCUGGCUUUGAUGUCCCUAUGGAAUAUAGGUGGAUUAGCUUCUGUAUGGAGGUAAACUAUGCCCUUUGAGUUAAAGGUUGAACUGUUGAAGAACACUGGAACUAAAAGAAUUUGAGUUAUUUCUUGAUUGUUGACUCUCAGACAUUUACGACUGUUCCAAAUUCAUGUUGCUCCUAUAUCCCACUAAGUUUUUAUAACUGAUACAGUUGGUAUACAAAUUAAGCUAUUUUGGUCUUCUCUGUACUAGUAUGUAUGUCUCGUUCAACAUUUUUUCUAACCU